UGAGGAAUAUUGGGCAAUGCCCGAAAGGGUGACCCAGCAACGCCGCGUGGAGGAUGAAGGUCGUAAGAUUGUAAACUCCUGUUAGAGGGGAAGAAUAACUAAGUUUGGAGCUUAGUAUGACUGUACCUUCAGAGAAAGCACCGGCUAACUACGUGCCAGCAGCCGCGGUAAUACGUAGGGUGCGAGCGUUAAUCGGAAUUACUGGGCGUAAAGCGUGCGCAGGCGGUUUUGUAAGACAGAUGUGAAAUCCCCGGGCUUAACCUGGGAACUGCGUUUGUGACUGCAAGGCUGGAGUACGGCAGAGGGGGGUGGAAUUCCACGUGUAGCAGUGAAAUGCGUAGAGAUGUGGAGGAACACCGAUGGCGAAGGCAGCCCCCUGGGCCUGUACUGACGCUCAUGCACGAAAGCGUGGGGAGCAAACA
This 422-nucleotide ribosomal RNA is filed under the name uncultured bacterium. Its description in RNAcentral is "bacterial SSU rRNA". It matches the Rfam family "Bacterial small subunit ribosomal RNA", at positions 355 to 774 of the family's 1533-position model. The record is from RNAcentral.